Molecule: ribosomal RNA, 514 nt
Filed under: uncultured bacterium
Lineage: Bacteria
Description: bacterial SSU rRNA
Rfam family: Bacterial small subunit ribosomal RNA
Source: RNAcentral
GACGAACGCUGGCGGCGUGCUUAACACAUGCAAGUGGAGCGACGAACCAGGGGCUUGCCCCUGGGGCAGAGCCGCGAACGGGUGAGUAACACGUGGGUGACCUGCCCUGAUGAUCGGGACAACCCGGGGAAACUCGGGCUAAUACCGAAUGUGCUCACAGCCAUAGAGGGUUGUGAGGAAAGGUAGCUUCGGCUUCCGCGUCAGGAUGGGCCCGCGGCCCAUUAGCUUGUUGGUGAGGUAACGGCUCACCAAGGCUUCGAUGGGUAGCUGGUCUGAGAGGACGAUCAGCCACACUGGGACUGAGACACGGCCCAGACUCCUACGGGAGGCAGCAGUGGGGAAUCUUGCGCAAUGCGCGAAAGCGUGACGCAGCAACGCCGCGUGGGGGAAGAAGGCCUUCGGGUUGUAAACCUCUUUCAGUUGGGACGAAGGUUCGGCGGUGAAUAGCCGUCCGGACUGACGGUACCUUCAGAAGAAGCCCCGGCUAACUACGUGCCAGCAGCCGCCGUAACAC